CCACGGCACGCCACCUCGGGACAGACGUCUCGAAAUGCUCUUUACCUGCGAGGAGCCCAGAAAGACAGAUACUUCAUAUUCUUUAUGACAAUUAGUUGACCCGUUGCGCCAAAUGGCGCAGAGACCCGCUAAAGCCAUGUUGUCGAUGAAAAUAGUUUCAUUUUGCAAGGACAUAUUCGAUAUUGGUAAUAGAAAACCCAUGUAUUAAAUUAUGCUAUAUUGAAAAUAUGUUUAUCAUGUUGAGAAAUUUGAGUUUGAAAAAAAUCAUACUUGUAUAAUAUGUAUACAACAGUUAAGGAAUCAUUUUUUUAGUUGAAAAUAUGGUUAUCAUCAUGAGAAAUCCGAGUUUGAAAAAAUAAGGACAUGUUUGGAUAAAAUGUAUAGACCAGUUAAGGACGUAUUUUUUUAGUUGUGAUUGUACUGAACUUUUAUUUUCCAUGUGCACGCAAAAGAACCAUCUCCGUGUUGUGCAUAUGGAGGCAUAGGUAUUUGAAAGGCCCAUAUGCUACCUAGCUGAGUCCACGGACAAUUCUGUGUGUGUGGCUCGUCUGGAGUAGAAUAUGAAGCGGUGGGGACUACAUCUAUCGUGCUUGUUUAUCCCCUUUUCUUCCUCGGUUCCUCAUUUAAGCAAGAGAAGCAUUUCCAAAGACACGUACUCAACUGGUGAGAUUUCUCCUUUCCUACUAUUUCGGAUUUCGGAUUUCUCUGCAUGCACUGUUUUUUUAUUGAAGGAUAGUACCGAUCUUACCUUGGGCUGGCAGCCCUCCGGGUGGCAUCAGUUGCCAAAGGAGAGAUCAAUAGGAAUCAAAACACAGAUGAUUGACUAAAUCACAAAAGCAAAAUUUCAGUCGUUUUUCAUAUAGAGUGGCAGAUCAUAGCAUUGCUGAAAUGGACUAAAAUUAAGGAGAACGGAUGAGGACAAAAAUGAUGUAAAAUCAGGUCUGGGUUUAAAAUGGGCAUAAGUAGUACAAUACUAGCUUCAGUAGAACUGUAUCGUAAUGCACAAAGGCUCAGUAACUGCAAUACUAAUUUACUCAAGGAAGAGUUGCACAAUUUACUCAAGUAAGGGGUGCUCAAUUUUGUCAUCAGAACAAACUAUAAUAGGAUGGUGGGAAGUAUAUGUUGAUGCGUACACACCUUCAAAACUAUAACUAUGUACCAAUGCACAAAGGAGUAGCAGCUGCAAUAUUAAUUUACACAAGGAAGAACCGGUCAAUUCUUUCAUCAGAAUAAACUUUAAUAGGAUGGUACAAAUUCUAUAAACCUUGAACGGGUGCAUAGUACCUUCCAAAGCCUAUUAACAUCAAGAUGUAGUAAGGCGAGAGAAUAAUGAUUGUAACUAUCUUUUCCUUCAAACAUUUGAGAAAGCUUAGAGAAUCCGCUCAGCUGCCUUUUCCCCCAAUGUUCUCUUUUCCUUCUUUUAACUGCAAAAAUGAAGUAUGUUCCACACUUUGUUUGGCAGAACAAACUCGAAAAAUCAGUGUUGUUACCGACAGACUUACAUAUUGCAUGAGAGAUUCUGGACGUAUUUAUGCUAACUAAAUUCAGGAAAAUCCCAAAAGCAUGAUAAUUUUGUAGCCUGGUAUAAGCCUCGUUUCAGCCCUCAUGGUGCAUCUCGAAGCCCUACAAUCAAGACCAAAACAUCACUCCAUACUAAAAUCUCUAAACACCAGUUCAUCUAACUAAUCGAGCAAGUAGCAGUCCUGCACUAAAACGCCUAAACACCAGUUUAGUUAUCUAUAUUAUACACAUAUCUGCUACUACAAAAUCUAAAAAAUGAGAAACUGGACCCUCAGCAACAUUGUCCAACGCACACUGCAUGUGGUCUCGGAACCUUGAACCAGGCAAGGAAAGAAGCAAAGCACUUUGUUUUUCUAGAUUCUGUAAAAAAAAUACUUAAGGAGGGUGUAGCUAAGCGGAACAACAAAGAUAAAUAUUUCAAAAAUAUACCCACAGAAUAACUUGGCAUAGGAUAAGAUCUUGCAUGCGAAGCUGGUUUUAGAGACAGAGAAGACUAUGCCUAAUACCCACAGAACUGCUCUAGUAAAUUGCCUAUUGUCUAUCACUACUAACAACACUAUCGGUCAAUUAAGUUACUUCAUCCCAUUAUAAUUGAACAAAAUAAGGAUAAAUAUGCACUUCAAGCCGUCUCAGUCUUUUCUCAAACAAAUAACAUCAGGAUCAUCAUCAGUAAGAAGUGCACACAAAAGUCAUGCCUCAUCAGUUGAUAAAUAAUGAAGCAAUAAUCAGAAUAUAUAAAAUGGGAAUAAAAAUAAAUGGCAGAAAUCAUCCAUCAACAGAGCUAAAAUGGGACGGGAGUGACAUGAGUAUGCUAGAUUGACACUAAAUAGAAAUCUAUAAGCAUGGACACUACUGUAUUAAAAGAAAAUAACAGAAAAAUAUAGAAAUGGUUAAUAUGCUAAUGUUUUCGCCAUAAGAACAAGAAAGGUGUAACAUGAGUAAGGAUCUACGUUAUAAAUGUAUACACUAUACAACUCUAAAAAUAAUUUUAGAAAACUUUCAGUGUCCAACUAUCGGUAUACUUGUUUUCCUCUACAGAGAAGAAAAUUAGAUAGCAAGCUUUCGGUGUCCACCUCAUGUUACCAAGUGAAGUAAACUUUUGCCGUCCAGGUUGGUUGUUAAGUUACUCAUGAAUCGAAUAUAGCUAUAUGAUAACAUUAUCACCUCUUAUUUCAAUUGGUGCAUGUACCCGAGGUCAGAUGCAUGCCUUUGAUUCCUCCCAUAGUUUUUUGUCCGGUCGAUUAGAAUAGUCGCAAGCAUAGCUAAGAACUAACCUAUAGUGGGAGCGAGGUUUGCUAGAAUGCCCUGGCCUAGUGGCAUGCUUGAAUGCUAUGCUGACUGGUGGUGUAAGUUUAGGAAUUAGUUUACUUCUUUAACAAAAUAGGAAAGGCGUGGUUAUAUCAGAGAAAUCAAUGCAAGAAAUUAAAUUGCUUUCCAGGGAACCACUAUUUAAAUUUCCAUACAGAAGUCUAAUCUUCAAUUUGCUUGUAUCUUUAGGACAAAAAUAACUGCAGCUACGAAUCAUCAUCUGUACAUAGGUCCCAAAAAAAGAUAUGAAUCUGGUAACAGAAAUACCUUGCAAUAUCUCUAAUGCAUACUUCAAAUAACAAAUUUCUUCGUCUGGUAACAGAAAUACCUUGCAAUAUCUCUAGUGCAUACUUCAAAUAACAAAUUUCUUCCUUAGUCAUGCAAGUAUCCACAAAGCACUUUCCUUGACGAUGAGCAACCUUACUAACAAUCCUACAAAUAUUGAUUAAAGGAGGAGAAACAAAUAGCAAAAACUUUUAGAUAUUGACAUAGGCAUAGCUUGCGAUGAUUACGAAAUGAGAUAAAAAUGGGAGUGGCCAACUAUUUGUUCUUACACUGAGCAGACCGCCUCAACACAUCAUCAAAGCUACCUUACACCAAGAUAACAUGGAGAUAAAUGUGAAUUGACAGAAACUGAAAUGUUCUGUGAGGAAUAGAAACAGCAGGCUGCUUAUGUAAGAAAAGACCGACAUGCCUAUUUAAAAAUAGACCAGAUAGUAGACAGAUCGUCCAUAUGCACUCAC
RNAcentral lists this long non-coding RNA (3572 nucleotides) under Triticum aestivum (bread wheat). Its description in RNAcentral is "long non-coding RNA (TAES_LNC003412)". Lineage: Eukaryota; Viridiplantae; Streptophyta; Magnoliopsida; Poales; Poaceae. The record is from RNAcentral.